Non-coding RNA from Gossypium hirsutum (cotton), 125 nucleotides. The record is from Rfam. NCBI's taxonomy places the organism in Eukaryota, Viridiplantae, Streptophyta, Magnoliopsida, Malvales, Malvaceae.
AAUAGUUUUAUGCUACAUUAGUAUUUUCAUCCCGAAUUUCAGUAUUUUCAUCCUGAAAAAAAAAUCAAAUCUAAAUUAAAAUCCUGAAAUUCAGGAUAAAGUUACUGAUGUGGGAUAAAACUAUU